Oesophagostomum dentatum (nodular worm) is the source of this 46-nucleotide non-coding RNA. The record is from Rfam. NCBI's taxonomy places the organism in Eukaryota, Metazoa, Nematoda, Chromadorea, Rhabditida, Strongylidae.
UAUCAGGAUUUUUUCAAAUCCCCCAACGGCUUCAAAUACUUCAUUU